UGGGUUGUGGCUCAGUGGUAGAGCACUUGCCUAGCAUGUGUGAGGCACUGGGUUCAAUUCUCAGCAUCACAA
RNAcentral lists this transfer RNA (72 nucleotides) under Ictidomys tridecemlineatus (thirteen-lined ground squirrel). Its description in RNAcentral is "Spermophilus tridecemlineatus (thirteen-lined ground squirrel) tRNA". It matches the Rfam family "tRNA". Rfam says of the family: Transfer RNA (tRNA) molecules are approximately 80 nucleotides in length. Their secondary structure includes four short double-helical elements and three loops (D, anti-codon, and T loops). The record is from Rfam by way of RNAcentral. Lineage: Eukaryota; Metazoa; Chordata; Mammalia; Rodentia; Sciuridae.